Molecule: transfer RNA, 60 nt
Filed under: Klebsiella pneumoniae subsp. pneumoniae KpQ3
Lineage: Bacteria; Pseudomonadati; Pseudomonadota; Gammaproteobacteria; Enterobacterales; Enterobacteriaceae
Description: tRNA-Ser
Source: RNAcentral
GGUCUUGAAAACCGGCGACCCGAAAGGGUUCCAGAGUUCGAAUCUCUGCGCUUCCGCCAU